This 323-nucleotide unclassified non-coding RNA is filed under the name soil metagenome. RNAcentral's name for it is "partial contains 5.8S ribosomal RNA, internal transcribed spacer 2, and large subunit ribosomal RNA". The stretch from base 1 to 120 matches the Rfam family "5.8S ribosomal RNA", at positions 35 to 154 of the family's 154-position model. The record is from RNAcentral.
GAUGAAGAACGUAGCGAAAUGCGAUAAGUAGUGUGAAUUGCAGAAUUCAGUGAAUCAUCGAAUCUUUGAACGCACAUUGCGCCCCUUGGUAUUCCAUGGGGCAUGCCUGUUCGAGCGUCAUUUGUACCUUCAAGCUUUGCUUGGUGUUGGGUGUUUGUCCUGAGGGACUCGCCUUAAAGUAAUUGGCAGCCAGUGUUUGGUUUUGAAGCGCACCACAAGUCGCGAUUCAAGGCUAUACACCAGCUUCCACAAGCCUUUUUCACUUUUGACCUCGGAUCAGGUAGGGAUACCCGCUGAACUUAAGCAUAUCAAUAAGCGGAGGA